ACUCCUACGGGAGGCAGCAGUAGGGAAUCUUCCACAAUGGGCGCAAGCCUGAUGGAGCAACACCGCGUGAGUGAAGAAGGGUUUCGGCUCGUAAAGCUCUGUUGUUAAAGAAGAACACGUAUGAGAGUAACUGUUCAUACGUUGACGGUAUUUAACCAGAAAGUCACGGCUAACUACGUGCCAGCAGCCGCGGUAAUACGUAGGUGGCAAGCGUUAUCCGGAUUUAUUGGGCGUAAAGAGAGUGCAGGCGGUUUUCUAAGUCUGAUGUGAAAGCCUUCGGCUUAACCGGAGAAGUGCAUCGGAAACUGGAUAACUUGAGUGCAGAAGAGGGUAGUGGAACUCCAUGUGUAGCGGUGGAAUGCGUAGAUAUAUGGAAGAACACCAGUGGCGAAGCGGCUACCUGGUCUGCAACUGACGCUGAGACUCGAAAGCA
RNAcentral lists this ribosomal RNA (433 nucleotides) under uncultured bacterium. RNAcentral's name for it is "bacterial SSU rRNA". It matches the Rfam family "Bacterial small subunit ribosomal RNA", at positions 335 to 761 of the family's 1533-position model. The record is from RNAcentral.